GUGCUCUCUUCGGCAGCACAAAUACUAAAAUUGGAACAAUGCAGAGAAGAUUAGCAUGGCCCCUGUGCAAGGAUGACACGCAAAUUCGUGAAGCAUUCCAUAUUUAA
This 107-nucleotide small nuclear RNA is filed under the name Castor canadensis (American beaver). The record is from RNAcentral. Lineage: Eukaryota; Metazoa; Chordata; Mammalia; Rodentia; Castoridae.